RNAcentral lists this ribosomal RNA (468 nucleotides) under uncultured bacterium. Its description in RNAcentral is "partial 16S ribosomal RNA". It matches the Rfam family "Bacterial small subunit ribosomal RNA", at positions 28 to 507 of the family's 1533-position model. The record is from RNAcentral.
GAUGAACGCUGGCGGCGUGCUUAACACAUGCAAGUCGAACGGAAAGGCCCAAGCUUGCUUGGGUACUCGAGUGGCGAACGGGUGAGUAACACGUGGGUGAACUGCCCUUCACUUCGGGGUAUGCCUUGGAAACUGGGUCUAAUACCGGAUAGGACCACGUCUUGGAUGUUGUGGUGGAAAGUUUUUUCGGUGUGGGGUGAGCUCGCGGCCUAUCAGCUUGUUGGUGGGGUAUUGGCCUACCAAGGCGUAGACGGGUAGCCGGCAUGCGAGGGUGUACGGACGCAUUAGACUUGUGAGAGAGGCAAGAGUCGUAAAGGUGGCAGAAGUGGCGAAUAUCGGACAGUGGGACGCAGCGUGAGUCAGGGAGGUCGCGGGGUGGAAGAAGGCCUUCGGGAUGUAAAAACCUAUCGCUAGGGAAGUAGCGUUGUUGUGACGGUACCUGGAGAAGAAGCACCGGCUAACUACGUG